UCCUCAUUUAAAUGAGGCAGUCCGUCCAGAGUGCUCCAGCCUCUCGGCCGGGUGGCAACAGGACGCAAGGGUUGCGCUCGUUGCGGGACUUAACCCAACAUCUCACGACACGAGCUGACGACAGCCAUGCAGCACCUGUGUACGCUGGUAUUGCUACCUCGUCAGGCUUUCACCCUUCUACUACGUACAUGUCAAGGCCAGGUAAGGUUCUUCGCGUUGCAUCGAAUUAAGCCACAUACUCCACCGCUUGUGCAGGCCCCCGUCAAUUUCUUUGAGUUUUAAUCUUGCGACCGUACUCCCCAGGCGGCGCAUUUAACGCGUUAGCUUCGCCACGAACGGGGUCGAUUCCGCUCACAGCAAAUGCGCACCGUUUACGGCUAGGACUAC
This 387-nucleotide unclassified non-coding RNA is filed under the name uncultured Verrucomicrobiae bacterium. RNAcentral's name for it is "contains 16S-23S intergenic spacer region". The record is from RNAcentral. Lineage: Bacteria; Pseudomonadati; Verrucomicrobiota; Verrucomicrobiia.